AACGAACGCUGGCGGCAGGCUUAACACAUGCAAGUCGAACGCACUCUUCGGAGUGAGUGGCAGACGGGUGAGUAACGCGUGGGAAUCUACCCAGCCCUUCGGAAUAGCUCCGGGAAACUGGAAUUAAUACCGAGUACGCCUACGGGGAAAGAUUUAUCGGGUUGGAUGAGCCCGCGCUGGAUUAGCUAGUUGGUGGGGUAAUGGCCUACCAAGGCGACGAUCCAUAGCUGGUCUGAGAGGAUGAUCAGCCACACUGGGACUGAGACACGGCCCAGACUCCUACGGGAGGCAGCAGUGGGGAAUA
RNAcentral lists this ribosomal RNA (304 nucleotides) under uncultured bacterium. Its description in RNAcentral is "bacterial SSU rRNA". It matches the Rfam family "Bacterial small subunit ribosomal RNA", at positions 29 to 363 of the family's 1533-position model. The record is from RNAcentral.